RNAcentral lists this non-coding RNA (178 nucleotides) under Chloroflexota bacterium. RNAcentral's name for it is "Chloroflexi bacterium (sediment metagenome) 6S RNA". It matches the Rfam family "6S / SsrS RNA". Rfam says of the family: E. coli 6S RNA was the first non coding RNA to be sequenced, but its function was unknown until recently. It consists of 184 nucleotides that fold into an extended hairpin structure with a large single-stranded internal bulge. Lineage: Bacteria; Bacillati; Chloroflexota. The record is from RNAcentral.
AACACCCUGCUGUGUGCGUGUUGCCGUCUCACCGGUUCUGAGCCAACACUCUCUGAAAGGGCUUCCAUCUCGCGGCAUGAACGCGAUAGGCUUCGGCCAAGGCGGGAGUUCCGGGUAGAAGCCCAACCUGCUUCGGCAGGUUCAGAACUUUGCGGCUCACGGCAUGUGCGGGGUACUU